GAUGAACGCUGGCGGCGUGCCUAAUACAUGCAAGUCGAGCGAACGGACGAGAAGCUUGCUUCUCUGAUGUUAGCGGCGGACGGGUGAGUAACACGUGGAUAACCUACCUAUAAGACUGGGAUAACUUCGGGAAACCGUAGCUAAUACCGGAUAAUAUUUUGAACCGCAUGGUUCAAAAGUGAAAGACGGUCUUGCUGUCACUUAUAGAUGGAUCCGCGUUGCAUUAGCUAGUUGGUAAGGUAACGGCUUACCAAGGCAACGAUGCAUAGCCGACCUGAGAGGGUGAUCGGCCACACUGGAACUGAGACACGGUCCAGACUCCUACGGGAGGCAGCAGUAGGGAAUCUUCCGCAAUGGGCGAAAGCCUGACGGAGCAACGCCGCGUGAGUGAUGAAGGUCUUCGGAUCGUAAAACUCUGUUAUUAGGGAAGAACAUAUGUGUAAGUAACUGUGCACAUCUUGACGGUACCUAAUCAGAAAGCCACGGCUAACUACGU
Molecule: ribosomal RNA, 496 nt
Filed under: uncultured bacterium
Lineage: Bacteria
Description: partial 16S ribosomal RNA
Rfam family: Bacterial small subunit ribosomal RNA
Source: RNAcentral